UCAUAUUCAAAUCCUAUAACUUAACAUAAGAAUAAAUGAAUGAUGAAUCCUAGAUUACACUGUAGGUGGCAAGCAUUGAUAAUAAAAUGAAAUAAUAAAACACCAACAAUGUUGAUGAACUGUUAAAAUAUACACAUUUAGCAAAGCACAACCAUAUACUAGCUUAUUAUGCAUUAGUUUGAAGCAUAUAACAAGAAGUUAUAAAACAAAGCUAAAAACCAAGUGAUAACAAAUACCUCUACACAUUACUGAUUUUGGAAUGUCCAUUUGUUUCACUAAAAUUCUUCAUGAGAAUCCAGAAAAAUCCUUUGGUGGUUCAAUCCAUAUGCUUUCAAAAGGGUCUUGUUCACCCCAGUCAUGCCACUGCUUACGAGGAUAGU
This 380-nucleotide long non-coding RNA is filed under the name Medicago truncatula (barrel medic). RNAcentral describes it as "lncRNA gene3347". The record is from RNAcentral. Lineage: Eukaryota; Viridiplantae; Streptophyta; Magnoliopsida; Fabales; Fabaceae.